Molecule: ribosomal RNA, 480 nt
Filed under: uncultured bacterium
Lineage: Bacteria
Description: bacterial SSU rRNA
Rfam family: Bacterial small subunit ribosomal RNA
Source: RNAcentral
UGAACGCUGGCGGCGUGCUUAACACAUGCAAGUCGAACGGAGUUCAGAUGAAACCUAGUGAUUCUGAACUUAGUGGCGGACGGGUGAGUAACGCGUGGGUAACCUGCCCUGUACAGGGGGAUAACAGUUGGAAACGACUGCUAACACCGCAUAACAUUGAGGGAGCGUAUGGUCCCUUGAUCAAACAUUCAUGGGUACAGGAUGGGCCCGCGUCUGAUUAGCCAGUUGGUGAGGUAACGGCUCACCAAAGCGACGAUCAGUAGCCGUACUGAGAGGUAGAACGGCCACAUUGGGACUGAGACACGGCCCAAACUCCUACGGGAGGCAGCAGUGGGGAAUAUUGGGCAAAUGGGGGAAACCCUGACCCAGCAACGCCGCGUGAGGGAAGAAGGUUUUCGGAUCGUAAACCCCUGUCCUUGGUGAAGAGAAAGAGACGGUAGCCAAGGAGGAAGCCCCGGCUAACUACGUGCCAGCCGCUGC